GAGGACUCAAAGGAAGAUCCUGUCAAAGAGAAAGAUGCAGCAGAAUCAAAGAAAUGUGUCAAGAAGGGAGAUGCAGAAGACUCGAAGGAAGAUCAUGUGAAGGUUGAAAAUGCACAGGAAUCAAAGAAAUCUAUCAAGGAGGAAGAGACAGAGAAUUCGAAGGAAGUUCAUGUCAAGGAGGAAGAUGCAGAGGAUUCAAAGGAAGUCCCUCUCAAGGAGGAAGAUGCAGAGGACUCAAAGGAAGAUCCUGUCAAGGAGGAAGGUCUACAGGACCUAAAGGAAGAUGCUGCAGAGGAGAAAGAUACAGAGGACUUAAAGGAAGAUAUUGUCAAGGAGGAAGAUGCUGAGAACUCAAAGGAAGAUCCUGUCAAGGAGAAAGGUCUACAGGACCUAAAGGAAGAUGCUACAAUGGAGAAAGACGCAGAGGACUUAAAGGAAGAUAUUGUCAAGGAGGAAGAUAUAGUUGAGUCAAAAGAGGAGGCUAUAAAGGUGAAAGAUGUAGAGGAGUCAAAGGAAAAUGUUGUAAUUGGGGAAGAUGCAGAGGAGUCAAAGGAAGAUGUUGUAAUGGGGGA
Molecule: long non-coding RNA, 572 nt
Filed under: Nicotiana tabacum (common tobacco)
Lineage: Eukaryota; Viridiplantae; Streptophyta; Magnoliopsida; Solanales; Solanaceae
Description: long non-coding RNA (NTAB_LNC007829)
Source: RNAcentral